This 900-nucleotide ribosomal RNA is filed under the name uncultured archaeon. RNAcentral's name for it is "bacterial SSU rRNA". It matches the Rfam family "Archaeal small subunit ribosomal RNA", at positions 1 to 910 of the family's 1478-position model. The record is from RNAcentral.
UUCCGGUUGAUCCUGCCGGACCCGACUGCUAUCAGAGUGGGACUAAGCCAUGCGAGUCAACAUAGCAAUAUGUGGCAUACGGCUCAGUAACACGUAGUCAACAUGCCCAGGGGACGUGGAUAACCUCGGGAAACUGAGGAUAAACCGCGAUAGGUCAUCACUUCUGGAAUGGGUAAUGACUUAAACCUAUAUGGCCCCUGGAUUGGACUGCGGCCGAUCAGGCUGUUGGUGAGGUAAUGGCCCACCAAACCUGUAACCGGUACGGGCUCUGAGAGGAGGAGCCCGGAGAUGGGCACUGAGACAAGGGCCCAGGCCCUAUGGGGCGCAGCAGGCGCGAAACCUCUGCAAUAGGCGAAAGCUUGACAGGGUUACUCUGAGUGAUUUCCGUUAAGGAGAUCUUUUGGCACCUCUAAAAAUGGUGCAGAAUAAGGGGUGGGCAAGUCUGGUGUCAGCCGCCGCGGUAAUACCAGCACCCCGAGUGGUCGGGACGUUUAUUGGGCCUAAAGCAUCCGUAGCCGGUUCUACAAGUCUUCCGUUAAAUCCACCUGCUUAACAGAUGGGCUGCGGAAGAUACUAUAGAGCUAGGAGGCGGGAGAGGCAAGCGGUACUCGAUGGGUAGGGGUAAAAUCCGUUGAUCCAUUGAAGACCACCAGUGGCGAAGGCGGCUUGCCAGAACGCGCUCGACGGUGAGGGAUGAAAGCUGGGGGAGCAAACCGGAUUAGAUACCCGGGUAGUCCCAGCUGUAAACGAUGCAGACUCGGUGAUGAGUUGGCUUAUUGCUAACUCAGUGCCGCAGGGAAGCCGUUAAGUUUGCCGCCUGGGGAGUACGGUCGCAAGACUGAAACUUAAAGGAAUUGGCGGGGGAGCACCACAAGGGGUGAAGCCUGCGGUUCAAUUGGA